Molecule: non-coding RNA, 137 nt
Organism: Paenibacillus sp. Soil522
Lineage: Bacteria; Bacillati; Bacillota; Bacilli; Caryophanales; Paenibacillaceae
Source: Rfam
UUACUGAUGCAAGUUCAGUCGGGGUAGGGGCCAAGCCGCCCCGUAGCUAGCAGGCAGACGUCGGCGAAAUCCGGCGGAUGAAGCCCUGUGAAAAGUCGCGCUCUUGCGAUGAAGCAAAUCUGCAGGCCGUAAUGAAA